GAUGAAGAACGCAGCGAAAUGCGUUAAGUAAUGUGAAUUGCAGAAUUCAGUGAAUCAUCGAAUCUUUGAACGCACCUUGCACUCCUUGGUAUUCCGAGGAGUAUGCUUGUUUGAGAGUAAUGUAAUCAUCAAUCCUCCUUUACUUUUGUGAAGUUGGCUUGGAUUUGGGGAUUGCUGGCCUUUCAUUAGGUCCUGGCUUCCCUUGAAUGCAUUAGUUGAAUCAAGUUACAACGUUACGUGUGGUGUGAUAAUAUCUUCACUGCAUAGUUGUAAUGAAGUUUGGCUUCUAACAGUCCUUCACUGGACAAUACUUUGAACAAUGUACCUCAAAUCAAGUAGGACUACCCGCUGAACUUAAGCAUAUCAAUAAGCGGAGGA
This 378-nucleotide unclassified non-coding RNA is filed under the name soil metagenome. RNAcentral describes it as "partial contains 5.8S ribosomal RNA, internal transcribed spacer 2, and large subunit ribosomal RNA". The stretch from base 1 to 120 matches the Rfam family "5.8S ribosomal RNA", at positions 35 to 154 of the family's 154-position model. The record is from RNAcentral.